RNAcentral lists this ribosomal RNA (568 nucleotides) under Ascomycota sp. ARIZ PAOak3-11. Its description in RNAcentral is "eukaryotic LSU rRNA". The stretch from base 193 to 346 matches the Rfam family "5.8S ribosomal RNA". Lineage: Eukaryota; Fungi; Ascomycota. The record is from RNAcentral.
GUAACAAGGUCUCCGUUGGUGAACCAGCGGAGGGAUCAUUACAGAGUGUAAAAACUCCCAAACCCUUUGUGAACAUACCACUGUUGCCUCGGCGGAGCUACCCGGUAGCUAUCCUGUAGCUACCCUGUAGCCGCCGGCGGCCCAUCAAACUCUGAUUAUGUAGAUAUCUGAGCGUACUUUUAAAUAAGUCAAAACUUUCAACAACGGAUCUCUUGGUUCUGGCAUCGAUGAAGAACGCAGCGAAAUGCGAUAAGUAAUGUGAAUUGCAGAAUUCAGUGAAUCAUCGAAUCUUUGAACGCACAUUGCGCCCAUUAGUACUCUAGUGGGCAUGCCUGUUCGAGCGUCAUUACGACCCUUAAGCCUAGCUUAGUAUUGGGAACCUACGUGCGGCGGCUACCCUGUAGCCGCCCUGUAGCUCCUUAAAGACAACGGCGGAGACGUGGAGUCCUCUGAGCUUAGUAACUUUUUCUAGCUUCUGAAGGCCCCGCGGCCCCUGCCGCAAAACCCCAACUUUUAGUGGUUGACCUCGGAUCAGGUAGGAAUACCCGCUGAACUUAAGCAUAUCAAU